RNAcentral lists this long non-coding RNA (1338 nucleotides) under Gossypium barbadense (sea-island cotton). RNAcentral's name for it is "long non-coding RNA (GBAR_LNC009883)". Lineage: Eukaryota; Viridiplantae; Streptophyta; Magnoliopsida; Malvales; Malvaceae. The record is from RNAcentral.
GCAUAUGUUAGGGAUGUUACCUUAGUAAACAACGAGCGAUGACAACCCAAAAAUUAAAAAUGGAUCAUUCUCAUGACAUUUUGUAUUUUGUACAUUUAACAUCCAUAAUACAUGUAGUUAGGAGCAUUUGAUUCAUAUUAAUCAUGGCAUCCUAAUCAUCUAGCAUAAGCAUAUCACUCUUCAAAGAUAGAUUCCCCAGUGGAUAAUGUAUCAGGAUUACAGAUAUCAUCAGCCUUAUCUUCACUGAGCAGGAGUGGAACAGGCUAAAAACCAGAUCUUAUCUUCACUGAGUAGGAGUGAAGCAGAUCGAAUUUUGAUGAAUCUUAUCUCCACGUACCGGCGAUGGAGCAGAUUCCAAUCAUCAGCCUUAUCUUCACUGAGGAGGAGUGGAGCAGGCUAAACAUACCAGAUCUUAUAUUCACUGAGCAGGAGUGAAGCAGGUCAAAUUUUGGCAAGUCUUCUCUCCAUCUAUCGACAAUAGAGCAGAUUUCAGCCACCAACCUUAUCUUCACUGAGCAGGAGUGGAGCAGGCUAAACAUACCAGAUCUUAUCUUCACUGAGCAGGAGUGAAGCAGAUCAAAUUUUGGCAAGUCUUAUCUCCAUGUAUCGGCAAUGGAGCAGAUUUUAGCCACCAGCCUUAUCUUCACUGAGCAGGAGUGAAGCAGGCUAAACAUACAGAUCUUAUCUUCGCUGAUUAGGAGUAGAGCAGAUCAAAUUACAGCAGACCACAUCUCCGUAAAGCAGCAACGGAGCAUUCUAAAGUAAUAAGGUGCGGGGGGUUGCGGCAAAGAAGUCAGGACUCAGUCGGCCACAGGUAAAAUUGGUCCCUUAUAGUCUUUGCUCUAUUCUUGUUACACAAUAAUGAGCAAAGAGGGGCAGCUGUUGGUCCCAAUUCAUUCCUGGUCCAGACCCAAAUAUUUAGAAUCCAAAAUAUAAAAACAAACCCAUUAACCACUUAAACCAAACUCUAGGCCCAGUACAUAAAUAACCCAACACCCAAAUCAGUUGACCCAGGUACCAGCAAACCCCAAACAACAGCAGUCCUCGCGCCGCACGCCUCUCACCAGCGUCCCACUCCGCCACGCCUCUCGAUUCCUAGAUUUUCGCAGCUAUACCUACAACAAGAAAAGACACAACAAUAGAAUAUUUUCAUUGUAUCUCUAGGCUAUAAAAGGCCAUUGUAAACAAUGAAAAAAAGGGGGAAAAAAGAGUUUUUUACGUGGGAAUCAAGAGAAAUACAGAGAAAUAUACCAGAUUUCUGAGUAAACUUUUAAUACCAUCCAAUAGAUUCAAAGGUGAAUAUAGUUUCUUUUCAAGGUUUUUAGCCCUUUGUUGUGC